UAGCAACUAGACAAAAAACAAAAACAGAAAAUAUUUUGAUUUUCUGUUUUUGCAUUUCAAUCAAUUAAUCAAUCCAGUUUAUUUCGACUUCAGAGGUUUUGAUGUGGAUCUGAAACCUUUUAUAUUUACCCGGACUUUUAAACUAACAAAGAGAAAAGUGCAUUUUGUGUUCUUGCUGCUUUACUUGUGAUCGUCGUCUCACCCAGCAGGCGUCACACCUGAGCAGAAACGCACCAACUAACAACGGCAGAGGUGGGCAGAGUAUCCAGAAAUUACACUCAAGUAAAACUAUUUGGUAAAAAGUUUACUCAAGUACUGAGUAACUGAUCAAAUUAUCAGUUAUUUAAUAUUUAAAAAUUACCUCAUCAGUGGGUAGAGAACCCAGAAGUUUUACUCAAAUAAGAGUAGAAAUACUUCAUAAUAAAAUUACUCAAGUAAAAGUAAAAACUUAAAUUUUUUUUCAAAAAGGUUAUUCAAGUAAAUGUAACUGAGUAAAUGUAAUUAGUUACCACCCAACUCUGCCUAAAUGCAGUCAGUUUUGUUGAACAAAUGUCAAAGAAAUCCUAUUUUCUUGCUGUGAAAGAAGCGAGAAAAUAUUUCUGAAAUUGUUGCUUUCAGAAAGAUUCGAUUUGCAUCAUGUUUGGCAAAACCUGCAACCCCUCUGAUGAGCGUGACGCGCUGCGAAUCGACGUCCAAUCUGGUUUCUGCUCAGAUGUGGUGAAGGUUGCAGAAAUCCCCGAGCUCUGCGGCUCUCCAGCAUCUCUGCCGGAGUCGGCAGCGAUGCGGCGAAUGUUGGAGAGGUGAUUUCAUGAACCGCCUGCUGGGCAACAUGCUAGGGUUGCUGUCUCUCAUGGGAGAAGAACUUGUUUUUGUUGCUUUAUAUUUAUUUUCAGAACUUAUUAAGAGACUUUAAAGACUUGUUCAAACAUUUUGUGAAGCUCACCUGGACGGUGAGACGUUUAUUUUUGGUUUUUUUAGCAGUGUAUGUAGAGGAGGAUGCAGAGGAGGCUCAGGAGAGACGGAGGACAGACUGAACAAAGCUGUGUUGAAUCGGUUUGACUGCAGAGAUGAGACGAGCCGGCUUCCAGCGGCUCUCUGCCAGUUGCUUAGUAACUGGUGUUUUCAGCUAAAGUCUACAGUCAAAAUGUCCAAAUUAAAGAGGACCUGAAGGAACAAGUGACCAACGCAAACACAUUCCUCCCAGCGGCACAUUUUGUCGGUUUGCUACAGAAAGGGACGUCAGCGGCAGCAUGGCGUCUCGCUGCUUUACUGACAUCAACAGCGGGGCCCCCCUCAGGCGACCUGCACACACUCUGCCGUAAUGGGCCUCCUCAUGGUUGGAGGUCUCCUGUCAAAUCUCGGAGCUGAAAACCCCCCCGGGAGAAGAGCGAGGGUUUGAAGUCGGAAUAAAGAUUCAGACGGGGGAGAGAAAGCAGCUCUCCUCUGGGCUUUUUCUCGCAGCCAGAUGGGCAGAGAGCCUGGAGCGAUCUUCCUCCCUCCUCCUCCUGUUCCUCCUCCUCAGCAGGACCCAAUCUUCUCUUCGCUUGGUAAAUCUUUAGGUUUCUGAAGAUCUCCGGAGGGGGCUUCGCUGCAAGGAAGGUGACCGAACCUUUACCUGAAAGGAACAAAAAACUGACAGAAAGUUUUACAGGAUGGUUUUUGUUUUUUUAAUUUCCUCUCUGAGGGAGAAGGAGACUUUUCUUCCUGUCCUUAUCAGAGCCUCUGCUGAUUGAGAUCAGCAUGAUCAGGUGGAAUCAAGGAUAUGAAAUCUUAUCAAUUUGAAUUACGACUGGAUUUUAUUGUGUUAAAAGUUGAAGAAGGAUUUUUUGUAUUAUUAUUAUUAUUAUUAUUAAGUUCUGGAGUGCCUCCCGUCAAUCCCAGACGGAGAUCUCCAGCGGAUCAGAGAUGGAGUAUGAAACUAUUCAUUCAUUUAUUCAUUCGUUUAUCCACCCACCCUCCCAUCAGGGUGUCUUCAGAUUGAAGCUGUAACCAUUGAACGGUUUGUUAUUCACAUUUUUCCAUUUAAUUACAGACGAAAUCACCGUCUCUUCACUCUCAUUAACUCAAUGUCUCUGAUUGCUGUUCAAUGGCAGUUUGUGAUUCAUAAUAUUAGCUUCUCAGGCAUGAAUCAACUGCUGUGUUUAACAAAGUCUAUAUUUUAUAUCUUUAUUUAUGAUUAAGAUUUCAUCUGUUUUAAAUUAUCUGCAAAAGUUUCAGAUAAAUUCUGUCUUAUUUGCCUCACAGAAAACUUGAUAGUGGGUAUUAAAAGUCUGUACAACCAUGUUGAAAUUUCAGCUUUUUUGAUGCAAACAUAACUUUAUUUUAUCAUCUGGGGGUGAAAAAAGACCUUUUAAAUGGUGACAGGUGAUACUCAUUUUCUACUAACAUGAGCUUUAAGGUGAAAAUUAAUUCUGAAAACAGGAUUAAGAGAAUUUCAGCAUUUUCAGUUGUUAUUUAUUUAUUCUUCCCCCUUCAAGAUUUUAGUGUGUACCUAAAGUGAGAUAUUUAGGUAAGAGACUUUAAUCUCAAAAUUCUGAUUUUAAUCUCAAUAUUCUCAGUUUGUCUCUGGAAUCUGACUUUUAAUCUCAAAAUUCUGAUUUUAAUCUCAGAAUUCUCAGAUUUAAAAACUCAAUCUGGGAUUAAACUCACAAUUAUCACUUUAAAAUAAUAAAAAAUUCCCUUUUUUUUCUCAUAAUUAUCACUCUAAACUCAGAAAUCUGACAUUUUUUCCAGAAUCAGAGUUGUCCAUGAGACAGACAUGGUGUUAACACUGAAAUCUACCAAAUAAAUUUGGCACAGCCUUUCAGUGCAGCUUUACAAAUCUUUUGUUACAUGAUUAUUUUCAUUUGCUAACUGCACACACUUAAGAAUGUUUGGCUAUUUAUUUGAAUUUACACAAAAUUAGAAAUAUGAGUUGAGCUCUUAGAUAAAAGUCAAAAUUUGGGACUUAAAGUAAAAAAAUGUAUUGAUUUUUUUUUGUAGGUGGCACUAACCCUCUUCCAUAUAAUCACACUAAAUAUGGAUUUUUUUUUUAAACUAAAACAAAAUGAAAACCUGCCAUUUCAACAUGAGUGUAGAGGUUUUUAUACCCGCUCUUGUACAGCAGAAACAUUUAUUUUCCAAGUGUGAUGACGCUCAUAACCACUUCAUAUCCCGUCUUGUAAACACACUCACUCAUAGAGAGGAAAUGCUGCCCUGCACAAACUACCGCUGACUGUCCCAGCGUCUCACUGCCGAACUAAACCCGUUCCUCUCCUCCAUUCCUCCGUCCUCACUGCCGAUUUAUACCUUUACUCACUUUAUCUCUUCUCCUCUCCCUCCACUCUCAUUGGAUUUUUUUAAUCUCCGCUGGCUUUGCCACCUUGACAGGUAAAUACAUUUGAGUUGCUAAAGCUCAUAAAGGAGUAAAAUGGUGAUAAAGGAAGAAAAUAAUUCUCCAAGACGUCUCACUGUCUUAUCUUUUCACUUGCUCUCGCGCCUGUCUCCCCUUGAAAGAGCUAAAACUCUCAUUACUCCGCUGUCAGCUGCUGCAGAAACACAGAAAAAAAACCUGUGUAGGCUUUUCACUGCAAAAACACAAAACCUUAACAAGUAU
Xiphophorus maculatus (southern platyfish) is the source of this 3595-nucleotide long non-coding RNA. RefSeq lists it as uncharacterized. The record is from RefSeq and is a predicted model, not a curated record. Lineage: Eukaryota; Metazoa; Chordata; Actinopteri; Cyprinodontiformes; Poeciliidae. The transcript has 3 exons.